AUCAUUACCGAGUGAGGGCGCGAGCCCGACCUCCAACCCCAUGUUGUCCAACCGUGUUGCCUCGGGGGCGACCCGGCCGCGCGCCGGGGCCCCCGGUGGACCCCUCAACCCUGCAUCUCAGCGUCGGAGUCACGAAAUCAAUCAAUCAAAACUUUCAACAACGGAUCUCUUGGUUCUGGCAUCGAUGAAGAACGCAGCGAAAUGCGAUAAGUAAUGUGAAUUGCAGAAUUCAGUGAAUCAUCGAAUCUUUGAACGCACAUUGCGCCCUCUGGUAUUCCGGAGGGCAUGCCUGUUCGAGCGUCAUUACACCACUCCAGCCUCGCUGGGCGUUGGGCACCGCGGCCUCCGCGCGCCUCAAAGUCUCCGGCCGAGCCGACCGUCUCCCAGCGUUGCGAUCAUCCACUCGCUGCGGGGGCGGGCCGGCGCCGCGCCGUCAAACCCUUUCACCCCAGGUUGACCUCGGAUCAGG
RNAcentral lists this ribosomal RNA (469 nucleotides) under Teratosphaeria fimbriata. Its description in RNAcentral is "eukaryotic LSU rRNA". The stretch from base 150 to 303 matches the Rfam family "5.8S ribosomal RNA". The record is from RNAcentral. Lineage: Eukaryota; Fungi; Ascomycota; Dothideomycetes; Mycosphaerellales; Teratosphaeriaceae.